UACGUAGGGGGCAAGCGUUGUCCGGAUUUAUUGGGCGUAAAGAGCGUGUAGGCGGCUAGAUAGGUCCGUUGUGAAAACUCGAGGCUCAACCUCGAGACGCCGGUGGAAACCAUCUAGCUAGAGUCCGGAAGAGGAGAGUGGAAUUCCUGGUGUAGCGGUGAAAUGCGCAGAUAUCAGGAAGAACACCCGUGGCGAAGGCGGCUCUCUGGGACGGUACUGACGCUGAGACGCGAAAGCGUGGGGAGCGAACAGG
RNAcentral lists this ribosomal RNA (253 nucleotides) under uncultured bacterium. Its description in RNAcentral is "partial 16S ribosomal RNA". It matches the Rfam family "Bacterial small subunit ribosomal RNA", at positions 524 to 776 of the family's 1533-position model. The record is from RNAcentral.